UACCGUCCGCCCGUCGGAUUCAGUCCGUCUGUGCGACCGGGGCGUCGCGUGCGCAUCCCUCUCGGGAGCGUCGCGGCGUCUUGCGCGCCGUGCGGCGGCCGUACUUUCGGCGGGUGGAGCGCCACGACCGGUUCGCGGGCGGCGAGAAACCGCCCGGCAAGGUGACCGUCGCUUCGGCGUCGGGGCAUACAGGCUGGGUGUGCGCGGCCCGUCUGCGGACCUGGGAAGACCGUAUUCGCGGCGGUGCGUCGACCGCCGGUCGUGCCGGAGCGUUCGACUCGGGGGGACUGGUUCCAGUGCCCUCGGACCGCGCUUCGGCAAUGCGGCCGGACGGCCCGGCGUGCCGCUCGGGGUCGGUGGCGAAACGGCCGGCAACCUGUCCGACCCGUCUUGAAACACGGACCAAGGAGUCUAACACGUGCGCGAGUCGUUGGGCGAUACGAAACCCGAAGGCGCAAUGAAAGUGAAGGCCCGGUCUCCCGGCCGGCCCAGGUGGGAUCCGGACGGUACACGCCGUCCGGCGCACCACCGGCCCGUCUCGUUCGCUACGUCGAGGAGGCGGAGCAGGAGCGUACGCGUUGGGACCCGAAAGAUGGUGAACUAUGCCUGAGUAGGACGAAGCCAGAGGAAACUCUGGUGGAGGUCCGCAGCGAUUCUGACGUGCAAAUCGAUCGUCAAACUUGGGUAUAGGGGCGAAAGACUAAUCGAACCAUCUAGUAGCUGGUUCCUGUCGAAGUUUCCCUCAGGAUAGCUGACGCUCAUCUCGAGCAGUUUUAUCCGGUAAAGCGAAUGAUUGGAGGCCUUGGGGACGAAACGUCCUCAACCUACUCUCAAACUUUAAAUGGGUAAGACGUCCGACUCGCUCGA
This 867-nucleotide ribosomal RNA is filed under the name Atatina sp. MPL-2014. RNAcentral's name for it is "eukaryotic LSU rRNA". The stretch from base 402 to 867 matches the Rfam family "Eukaryotic large subunit ribosomal RNA", at positions 665 to 1094 of the family's 3401-position model. Lineage: Eukaryota; Metazoa; Annelida; Clitellata; Crassiclitellata; Glossoscolecidae. The record is from RNAcentral.